CAGAGAUGCAACGAAAAUCACGAUUUAGCAAACAAAGGGGAGCUGUUAAAAAUUGAGAAUGGAUGCAAUGAGAGGGACAAGGUGGAAUUCAGAUGCUGCUUAGGGCUGAGCAAGAGGCACAGAAAAUCAUCACCGAUGCUAGAAACUUGAAGAUGACAAAACUAAAACAAGCAAAAGACGAGGCCGAGCGGGACUCUGCAGCGUAUCGCUCUGCUUUAGAGGCAGAAUAUCAAAGAAAAAUUUCCAAG
Long non-coding RNA from Dioscorea cayenensis subsp. rotundata (Guinea yam), 248 nucleotides. RefSeq lists it as uncharacterized. The transcript is spliced from 3 exons. Lineage: Eukaryota; Viridiplantae; Streptophyta; Magnoliopsida; Dioscoreales; Dioscoreaceae. The record is from RefSeq and is a predicted model, not a curated record.